UCGAAUUUUUAUUCUCGUAAAACUGCAAAAUCGUUCUCGUCACUUUUCCUUGUCCUAUCCUCCCUCUCCUCUUCUCCAAUCACUAUCUAUCCUAGAUCUCAAUCCCCAUCCUCGUUGACCCAGUCUUAGCUCUCUGUCAGUUUCUCUAGCCUCUACCCUCAACCUCCAGCCUCGACAUCCCCAAUUCCAGUCUCGUCGCCUCUUCCUUGCCGGCCCGUCGCACUUUCUUGUCUCUUUCUUGUUGGUCUUUUGCGUCUUUAUCACCUCCUCCUCGUCAGUUUCUAUGUCUGAUCAACAGAUCUCAGUUUCAGAUGGAGAUAUUUCAAGUAAUAACAUUUAAUUUGGAUUCUUGGUUUAUGAUUUUGGUUUAUGGCUUUCAUUUCUUGGUUUAUUAUGAUGUUGCUCUAUUUUUGAGUUUAUUCUGAUGGGUUUAUUAUGAGUUUCUAUAAGCCAAACACUAGCCACUUGAGGCUUUCACUUUAUGGCUCUUUGCCCUUCAAAAUUCAACUCUGUCUAUUCAAGCACAUUGCUGUGUCGAUUCAAGCACGUUGCUGUGUUCGGCUCUGUUUCAUUCUACUUCUGCUAAUUGCUUGUUGGUAUUUUUUUUGAAUUAAUUUCCAUGGCUUCUUCGCACCCAAAGAAUGUGAGAAUCCUUGAUAUUUCAAGAUAAAAUUCCAAUUUUAACGGUUUUGAUUUGUGGGGUGUUGUGUGAUUCUGAUGCAGGAAGCUUUGGAGGCUCACAAUGGACCUGCAAAGAAAAAUACACUAUUGGGCUUGGACAGGAUUGCUUGGCAUUCUACAAUGAGGUAUUGAUUCAACAAAUGCAUGCUAUGGUGGAACAACAGCUAUAUUCAAUUGCGUGAAUUGGGUGGAUAGUAGUUCAUGGGAUGGUCGCUAUGGACUUGUCAUAUGUGCAGAUAAUGUGGUUGUUGAUGGAAAAUUCUCGCAGAAUUGUUUUCUCAUGGCACUUGAUUCUUUCUACAAGGUUUUCUGUGAGAAAUUCGAAAAGUUGGAGGGGAAACCCUUUUCAAUGGCUGAAGCUAAUUACUUUGUGUUUCAUUCUCCAUAUAACAAGCUUGUCCAAAAAAGCUUUGGUCGGCUAUUCUACAAUGACUUCCUGAGAGUUGAGAACGGUGACAACCAAAUUGGCAAUCUUAUACUAUAUUUGAUUAAAUUGGUUUUAUUUUUUUAUGAAUCUUUUAAUCUUAAUGUAAAUUUUAUGACUAAUUUUGUGAGAAUGACAUAGUAGAAGAUUAUUUUAAAAUAGAUGUAUUUGAUUAACUUCUUUGAUAUAAUGAAUGUUUGAAUCUGUUCUGGCUUUUUUUUUAAUAUUG
This is a non-coding RNA of Arachis ipaensis, 1334 nucleotides long. NCBI's taxonomy places the organism in Eukaryota, Viridiplantae, Streptophyta, Magnoliopsida, Fabales, Fabaceae. The record is from RefSeq and is a predicted model, not a curated record.